CAAACUCCCACUCUCCAGUUCAGUUAUGCCAAAGCGGCAACGAGACACCAGUUUAUUAUUGACUUCAACACAACCAGGAGAUAUGGUAGGGUAAGCAGAAGCUCCAACUCUGAGCAUAUACCUAAAUUCCAUUCAGGGUGACCACAAUAUUGCGUGCAGUGGGGUGGUCUCGGUGCUCACAUAGCCAUAUUCCCUGCCAAGUACCCAUAUUAAACUUUCCAUUUGUUAUUGGAAUCGUGAGUGCACAGCCAAACAUUGAUGAUUUAAUGUGUGCUGGCAUGUCAUCCGGG
Molecule: unclassified non-coding RNA, 290 nt
Filed under: Hevea brasiliensis (rubber tree)
Lineage: Eukaryota; Viridiplantae; Streptophyta; Magnoliopsida; Malpighiales; Euphorbiaceae
Source: RNAcentral